UACAGAGGUCUCAAGCGUUGUUCGGAUUCAUUGGGCGUAAAGGGUGCGUAGGCGGCGGGGCAAGUCGGAUGUGAAAUCCUAGGGCUCAACCCUGGAACUGCAUUCGAUACUGCCUUGCUCGAGUACUGGAGAGGAGACUGGAAUUUACGGUGUAGCAGUGAAAUGCGUAGAUAUCGUAAGGAAGACCAGUGGCGAAGGCGAGUCUCUGGACAGUUACUGACGCUGAGGCACGAAGGCCAGGGGAGCAAACGGG
This 253-nucleotide ribosomal RNA is filed under the name uncultured bacterium. Its description in RNAcentral is "partial 16S ribosomal RNA". It matches the Rfam family "Bacterial small subunit ribosomal RNA", at positions 524 to 776 of the family's 1533-position model. The record is from RNAcentral.